GAUGGAGGUUUUCGUGCUGCGAGGUGACGUGCCGCUGCUGUGAGAUUAGCGGACCACCCCACCCCACUCUACAGCCACAGCACAGAGGAGAGGUUGGGGAUGGGGGAGAACGAGAACGAAGCAAGGUCAUUAGCUCAAUGGCAGCUAGAUCAGUAUAACUCCAGACAUCACGCCACCACCGACCCCUCGAGUGUACGAGUGAUUGGGAGGAAUGAAAGUGAGCGUGAAUGGAGGCAAGAGGAGGCAGAGUGGAAACUGAAUGCAGUGUGAUAAGAGACAGAAGGGAUGAAUAAGUGGAGUGUGUGACCGAGUUAGGGCACUAUGAAGACGUGUAAGGAAUGGUGGUGGUGGUGGAGAAACUAAGUUGAGACGAGUGAAAGGGUUUCAGCCAGUUUUAGGACGGACAGAGGAGGGAAAUGGUGUUAGUGAGUUAGGGCUUAUUAUGGAUGAAAUGAAGACGUGAAGGGAAAGUGUGGUGUUGAAAAUGUGUAGAGACGAGUGAAAGGCAGUGAAGGUGUGUUUAGGGCAAUGUUGCGUUAGAUGUAGGGAUAAUUAGUAAACAAGGUAUUGCUGUUUUGUUAAUUUUGUCCAUUACAGGAGUUGACUAUCCGAAGGCCUGACUCGCAGCGGCAAUGAGCCUCGUGUACCUUGCAUUACCUACGCCACCGCCGCAAGAUGAGGGAAGAAGAGCUGUUUGGUAACCAUAUUUAGGGCCCAUAUCACCCCCGAAGCUCAUCAUGGGUGUAACCACCUAGAACCUGGGUAUCAUGGUGACACGUAGGAGUUGGUGAUCCAAAAGCCGCCCCACAGCCGCUACUGCUACUCGGAGGGUUUCUGCCUUGCAUCGGGCCUUCACUGCCGGCCCGCUAACACGUGCCGCCGUCGCCGCUACUGACAGGGAUUUCGCCUCGCUGCGGCCUGGCAAACACCUUCUACGUCGCCGCUAUUGACACUGAGGGACUUCGCCUCGCAGCGGCCUGGCAAACACCUGCUACAUCACCACUACCGCUGCCGCCGCCGUCCAGUGAGAGAUUCAUCUCUGACAUCCUGCCAUUCAACGCCUGCUGCCACCACCACCACCUCCUUAUGGUUCUGUCACUGUACUGAAGCUGUUGUCAUGAUUGAAUAAUAAAUUGUGAAGAAAU
RNAcentral lists this long non-coding RNA (1145 nucleotides) under Portunus trituberculatus (swimming crab). Its description in RNAcentral is "uncharacterized LOC123503228, transcript variant X4". The record is from RNAcentral. Lineage: Eukaryota; Metazoa; Arthropoda; Malacostraca; Decapoda; Portunidae.